This is a long non-coding RNA of Podarcis raffonei (Aeolian wall lizard), 1856 nucleotides long. RefSeq lists it as uncharacterized. The record is from RefSeq and is a predicted model, not a curated record. The transcript is spliced from 2 exons. Lineage: Eukaryota; Metazoa; Chordata; Lepidosauria; Squamata; Lacertidae.
GGUGCCCUUUCUGAUGUUUUGGGACUACAACUUCCAUCAUCCCUGACUGCCGGCCAUGCUGCUUGGGCUGAUGGGAGUUGGAGUCCCCCAAGAUGCGAAGGGCCACAGAUUCCCCACCCGUCUGCUACAGUAUUAACUCUUACUAUCACCAAGGUACAAUAGGACAUAAUGUAAUAGGACUCAGGUUUAACGCUGACUGUGGAUCCAGGCUGUGUUUAUGUGAAGCACAUUCAUUUCCUCAAAUAAUUACAGGUGCUGUCGUUUACCCCUCACAGAGUUACGAUUCCCAGCAGCCCUUAACAAACUGCAGAAAAGAAUGUGCCUCAAAGUGUAUACUCAGCUGGAGUUUGAAAAAGGAAAUGAAAAAGGAAAUGAAGACAAGACAGGGUUCACUUUCAGCUGCGCUUGGUGAGGCUUGAGGGGAAUAAUUAUUCUUGGAAAUGUUUUACAAGCUAUGUGGAAUGAAAGAAUGGAACGCUAGACUGCUCCACUUCUAGCAGCGUGGAGAGAAGCUGUGUUUUUGAAUGCUCCUCCACAUAAAAGAAACACACAAAUCCUUUAUGUAGUAAACCGGUACACUGGAGAGAAAUGCUUAGCUUAGCGCUUUAUCUGUUGUCUUAGCUGCCUGCAUGCUACAGAAGGGGCUUUUUAGCAGGGGAACAUCUAGAAAUGUGACCCACACAUGCCUGCAAUUGGAAGUCAGGCCACCCAGACUCCUUAUCCCUCCCUUUCAUUCAGUCUACUAGGUUGAUCAGCUGGCUCUUAAUGUGUUUUGGCGUUCUUCCUUUGAUGAGGUGACAACCAGAGCUCUGUAUAUAGCCCAGCUAGCAAGCAAAUGGGCAGUAUUCAGAUUUCAUCAUGCAAAGUUUGAGUUCGUUUGCACAGGCUGCCUGGAUUUUUUUUAAAAAAAUUAUUAUUUGCAUAAAUCAGCUGAAAGGCACAAAACUUUGGGUUUUACUGUAAUGUAUGGCAAGCAAGGUAGAUUGUAGAGUUGAGGAAAAUCCUCACUACAGUGGUACCUUGGGUUACAUACGCUUCAGGUUACAGACUCCGCUAACCCAGAAAUAGUACCUUGGGUUAAGAACUUUGCUUCAGGAUGAGAACAGAGAUCGUGCUCUGGCUGUGCGGCGGCAGCAGGAGGCCCCAUUAGCUAAAGUGGUGCUUCAGGUUAAGAACAGUUUCAGGUUAAGAACGGACCUCCAGAACGAAUUAAGUACUUAACCCAGGGUACCACUGUAUUCCAAAGUAAAAGUGCAGCUAGUGGAGGUGAUAAAUAUCUGAGGUGCCAGAUUGCUGUGAGCAUUUUCGGUUUGCUGUCCGAGCACCAGAAGAAGGUUACAUUUGCACUGAACUCCCGUCUUUGCUUAAGGUGCAAAAAUCCUUGUUCCAGUGGUGGCUGGUUGACAUUGGGACCGAUAGGGCAGGAAGGAGGGAGGCCAGCAGUAGGUGGCGCUGGAGCCAAUGGCAGGCAGAAGCAACAAAUUAUACUUUUGUCCCUAUCCUCCUCCCUGCCGAGUCCUAUAGGGGGCAGCACUAAGCAGGUGGAGGCUGACAGGCAGCGCCACCCUCUGGUUGUAAAUAAGAAGGCAGACAGGUCUGGGCUGGCAGAGCGCAGGCGGACAGUGGGGCAGACUGACAGUGGUGUUUCUGAGUGUGCCCCACUCCUUUUUCCAUAUAAGUCAGGGAUAGGCAACCUAAGGCCCGGGGGCCGGAUGUGGCCCAAUCGCCUUCUCAAUCCAGCCCGCGGACGGUCCAGGAAUCUGUGUGUUUUUACACUAGUAGAAUGUGUCCUUUUAUUUAAAAUGCAUCUCUGGGUUAUUUGUGGGGCAUAGGAAUUCGUUCAUUUCCCUCCCCCC